AGUUCUUCAGUGGCGAGCUUUAUGUCUUGUCCCAGCUAAAGCUGCCAGUUGAAGAACUGC
RNAcentral lists this microRNA precursor (60 nucleotides) under Sarcophilus harrisii (Tasmanian devil). RNAcentral's name for it is "Sha-Mir-22-P1b_pre stem-loop". It matches the Rfam family "mir-22 microRNA precursor family", at positions 15 to 74 of the family's 84-position model. RNAcentral also lists the same sequence under 2 other names. The record is from RNAcentral. Lineage: Eukaryota; Metazoa; Chordata; Mammalia; Dasyuromorphia; Dasyuridae.